CUGAGUUGGUACGGCAAACACUUGUCCAGGGAUAAAACGGCGCGAUAGUGAAGCUGACCGCUCAUUUGUAAGGGAAAGUUCCCAUUGCUGGAAGUAUUACUGUUGAAAGGUACACUGAAGUUUUCCAUGAUGAAGCGGAACUUGAUGGUGUUAAUGUAGACUGAAGUUAGGCUCACGUCAUACUACAACAAAUAAUCGGACAACUACCACUGGAAGUACUAAGUACAGAUCUACUCGUAUAUUGAAGCGAAGUCUGUUUUAUUAUCAGUAGACCAAGGCAAUGUUAAACUUAUAGGGAGAAAGAGGAAAAAAUUAUUGAAACUAGAUUUCUUUUUAUGCUGUGGAAUAUACAGGUUAAUGUAUGUACUUCCUACUGGAAGAUUUUGUAUUCUUUUGAAUAACUUUUGUGUUCAUUGGUGUUGACACUUAAAUAAAUGCUUCAAAUCUACGAUUACUGGGUUUUUGGAGUUUGACCAUCGUCCGGUGUUUGAAUAGCUAGAGAAAACAACGCUAACCACAAUGACUGGACUGAGGUUAGUUCGUCCUAAGGGACCCAACAGAGUAGGUGGCUCCUUCACCUGAGGAAGGAAGCAGAUCCAAUUCUCUAGUUUUUAGAA
This is a long non-coding RNA of Cryptotermes secundus, 617 nucleotides long. RefSeq lists it as uncharacterized. The transcript is spliced from 3 exons. The record is from RefSeq and is a predicted model, not a curated record. Lineage: Eukaryota; Metazoa; Arthropoda; Insecta; Blattodea; Kalotermitidae.